UUUAGAAGCACUUGAAGUACUUACACUGUUUGUCCCUAAGGUAAUAAAUCAUUGCAAUACUUCUGUAGUGGAUUUCUUAAUCAAAUCAUAGUAUCCUACUGAAAAUAACAGUUAAUGCUUAACAACUGCUAAAGUCACACUAUCUUCUGUGUUCAUGUUUUUUCAUAUCUCAACAGUCUUGUAUCCUUUUGCUCUGCCUUGUGCACAGGUGGUGACGGCGUGUGUAAUUUUGCACAACAUUUGUGUUGGUGUCGGGGAUGUGCUGGAAGAGGUUGUUGAGGAGGAGGACAACCAGCCACCUGGGGAGCUUGAUGGUGGAGAAACCCGGAGUGGAGCUGUUUGGCGGGCUGCGCUGACCAAUGAGGUGUCUGCACUCCACGAGGCACCUCUUGACCAUGACUAUUUUUGCCAGCCUUGAAGCAACAACAGCAGCACUGGCAGUGCUGUAGACAGUGUGGCUGAUGGCCACUUGUGUUCUUCUCGUCUUGUUGUAUAUAGCUGUAAAUGUUUAAGUUGUUGUAUAUAGUUGUAGAUAUGAGAAUGUUGUGUAAAUGAAUUUCCUGCUUCAUGUAUUUAGUUGUCAAUAUAGAAAUGUUUAAAUAUUUUUUUUUAUGUAACAAAGAUGAAAUUAAUGCUUUUUUGUAGAGCUUGGAAUACCGAAUCACAAAACGUUGUAAAAAAGGGUGAAGAUAUUGUUCAAUACAUUGUUUUGUUUUUCUAUUGCGGUCUAGAACAAGGUUUUUAAAAAAAUGGAUAUAGUUUAUAUUAAAUAAUUAAGGGGCAAAGACAAAACCAGUUCAAUUUAAUUGAAUUUAUUUUUCUGCCAACCUCUCCAACAGCAAAAAAAAAAAAAAAGCGGUUUGACCUCUCUCUGGCCUCUGCUUCCCUUCUCUCAUCUGCCUCCCUCUGGUAUUUAAUAUCCUCCUUUAAAAGAUGUAGGAUUGGAUCUUCUCGCUCCCUUCUCCUCUUCUCUCCUCUGUGCCCUGCUCUCUCUUUGCUCCUGUCUCUCACUGUCUCCUCCUCCUCAUCCUCGGCUCUCCCUUCAUCUACCUCUUGUGCAGUGCUUGGCCCUGGUUUUUCCUCUUGGAUCGAGGCACUAAGGCAAGGGGGCGAGACUGCUGCAGACUGCCCUAAUGCCUCGUCCAUGAGGGCAAACCAGGGUCAAUUUGCUGCCGUUGCCUUGCCAUCCUCUGUCCCUUGACCUGUGGCAGGGCACUUACAUUCCUAACAGUGAAGAUCAAAAAGUUGUGAUGAUGUACACUACUGUUCAAAAGUUUGGGGUCAGUAAGAUUUUAAAUACUUUUAAAAGAAUUCUCUUCUUCUAACCAUGGCUGCGCUUAUUUGAUUAAAAAUACUACAAAAAUCAGUUAUAGUAUUAAAUAUUAUUACAGUGUAAAUCAGCAGUUUUCUAUCUGAAUAUACAGUAAAGUGUAAUUUAUUCCUGUGAUCAAAGCUGAAUUUUCAGCAUCACCAGUCUUCAGUGUCACAUGAUCCUUCACAAAUCAGUAUAAUGUGAGGAUUUGAUGCUCAAGAAACAUUUAUUAUUAUCAGUGUUGAAAACGGUUGUUGGUCCGUCAGUUGUACAGUUUUUUUUUUUUCAGGAUUCUUUGAUGAAUAGGAAGUUCAAAAGAACAGCAUUUGUUUGAAAUAGAAUCUUUUGAAACAUUAUAAAUGUCUUUACUGUCACUUUCGAUCAAAUUAAUUAUUCCUUGAUAAAUAAAAGUAUUGAUUUCUUUCCUCCA
This is a long non-coding RNA of Cyprinus carpio (common carp), 1742 nucleotides long. NCBI's taxonomy places the organism in Eukaryota, Metazoa, Chordata, Actinopteri, Cypriniformes, Cyprinidae. The record is from Ensembl.